This is a long non-coding RNA of Suricata suricatta (meerkat), 493 nucleotides long. RefSeq lists it as uncharacterized. The transcript has 2 exons. The record is from RefSeq and is a predicted model, not a curated record. NCBI's taxonomy places the organism in Eukaryota, Metazoa, Chordata, Mammalia, Carnivora, Herpestidae.
CUUGGCUUCUUACAAACGCACCCCAAGCAGAACACAGACAAGUCAACACAACAAACAAGAUAACACAGCAGGUCUUCAAUUCUACUCCUCUGUCUUGCUAACUGUGAUUAUGGAAGCUUCUGUCUAGAAGACAUGUCUAGAGACAAUAUGAAAGGACAGGCAAGGGAUGGGCUGGAGCAAGAAAAUUCAUAAUUGAUCGCCCUUGUCUUAAGUUGCUUACUGUCUUUCAAGAGCUGGCAUAUUUUUAAAACUAACAGUUUCUCUUCUGGGAAACUUUUGCAUUUGUCUGGAAUGCCCUACCCUACCAUUCUCCCUUUUGAGAUGGUCUCUGUUCUGCAGUUCCUUUGACUAGGGUAAAUGUACUCCUUUUCUGUGGUUGCUUACUCCUUCUCUGCCAUUAUGAAUUUGGUGAUUCACCGUCUCCUUUUGUAGCUUGUUUGCCCUCUUGGGGUCAUGCUUGUAUGCUAUCCAAUAAACAUCUCUGUCAAAUCUC